GUGGAGAGUGGAGGGCAGAUCCAUAGGGCAGAGUGGAGGGCAGAUCCAUAGGGCAGAGUGGAGGGCAGAUCCAGGGCAGAGUGGAGGGCAGAUCCAUAGGGCAGAGUGGAGCAGAUCCAUAGGGCAGAGUGGAGGGCAGAUCCAUAGGGCAGAGUGGAGGGCAGAGUGGAGGGCAGAUCCAUAGGGCAGAGUGGAGGGCAGAGUGGAGGGCAGAUCCAUAGGGCAGAGUGGAGGGCAGAUCCAUAGGGCAGAGUGGAGGGCAGAGUGGAGGGCAGAUCCAUAGGACAGAGUGGAGGGCAGAUCCAUAGGGCAGAGUGGAGGGCAGAGUGGAGGGCAGAGUGGAGGGCAGAUCCAUAGGGGGCAGAUCCAUAGGGCAGAGUGGAGGGCAGAUCCAUAGGGCAGAGUGGAGGGCAGAUCCAUAGGGCAGAGUGGAGGGCAGAUCCAUAGGGCAGAGUGGAGGGCAGAUCCAUAGGGCAGAGUGGAGGGCAGAUCCAUAGGGCAGAGUGGAGGGCAG
Long non-coding RNA from Oncorhynchus tshawytscha (Chinook salmon), 514 nucleotides. The record is from Ensembl. Lineage: Eukaryota; Metazoa; Chordata; Actinopteri; Salmoniformes; Salmonidae.